This 465-nucleotide ribosomal RNA is filed under the name uncultured bacterium. RNAcentral describes it as "partial 16S ribosomal RNA". It matches the Rfam family "Bacterial small subunit ribosomal RNA", at positions 338 to 795 of the family's 1533-position model. The record is from RNAcentral.
CCUACGGGAGGCAGCAGUAGGGAAUUUUCGUCAAUGGGCGCAAGCCUGAACGAGCGAUGCCGCGUGAGUGAAGACGGCCUUCGGGUCGUAAAGCUCUGUUGCGGGGGAAAAAAGGCAGCAUCAGGAAAUGGGUGCUGACUGAUGGUGCCCCGCCAGAAAGUCACGGCUAACUACGUGCCAGCAGCCGCGGUAAUACGUAGGUGGCGAGCGUUAUCCGGAAUGAUUGGGCGUAAAGGGUGCGCAGGCGGUCCUGCAAGUCUGGAGUGAAACGCAUGGGCUCAACUCAUGCAUGGCUGUGGAAACUGGAGGGCUGGAGAGCAGGGGAGGGAGGGGGAAUUCGAGGUGUAGCGGUAAAAUGCGUAGAUAUAUGGAAGAACACCAGUGGCGAAGGCGGCCGCCUGGCGUGGUGCUGACGCUGAGGCACGAAAGCGUGGGGAGCAAAUAGGAUUAGAUACCCGUGUAGUC